CAGAAUGCACUCGAUGUUUCUAAGCGACCAAGAGCAUGCAGGCGUACCAACACUACUCCUGGGAUUAAGCACGAACACCCUCAGCCAGAAUAUCCUGUCUCCGGAACAAGAUUUGAACCAGACUGAUGCCACGCAUGGAACACAAUGAGCAAAGGGUUGAGUUGCGUUAAUCAAAGUCUCUACCCCAAACCCUCAAACGCCCAUCACGGUAUAAAAACUCGUUUAUUUUCCGUUUGGUACAAGAACAACGUAUCCAAGGGGGAAUACGAGUACGUCACUACGUUUCGACAUCGAUGUGAGGUGUGGAUCGAUUACAGUUUAGCGCUCAACGGGCACUUAGUCGAUCAAUAAAGAUCUAACAGCGAGGUUUACAUCAUAAGCUGAGGAGACAAGAAUGAGGCGGGCGAAGAUAUUUUAUCACUAUAUAAACUUCGCAUUUUAUAUGUGAAAGUUCUUAUUCUUUUUUACUGGAUCGUUUCAGCUGAACAUCAUCUUGGCGAAGAGCCCAUCACAAAGUCAGGGUACGAAAGUUUUGUUAAUACGGAUCCAAAGUGUUCACUUUACAACUCACUUUGCACAGGGAGACACUAAAAUGCCAACAUUUCGCAGUACAGGUGUCUGGCUGUGUCCCUCCGAGCGAACGUUUAUAGUUCAUAGGUGAUCAGACAUGCUGAAGAAUUACCGAAAGAAA
Zootermopsis nevadensis is the source of this 691-nucleotide non-coding RNA. The record is from RefSeq and is a predicted model, not a curated record. NCBI's taxonomy places the organism in Eukaryota, Metazoa, Arthropoda, Insecta, Blattodea, Termopsidae.